CUCUUUACACACAGGCACACACACGAACACUCACACACACCCGGACUGACUCCUUCCCUCACACGCCUACUAUCCACUUUCGCCUGAGACCGCAGCCAGCACAGGGCUCAGUUUUUUAUUUUAUUUUUUAUUUGCUUUGCUUGCUUUGGGUCUUUCCCUCUUGUACAGUGAGACGAGUCCCAUUUCACCCCUCCUCUGCAUAGAGAGCGCCCCUGAAAACAUAGGCCCUGGAUUGUCCCUGCAUCAGACUGCAUGCUACCAAUUGAUUUGUGCAUCUACUCCUCCCUAUUAUUUUAGCUCUUUAUAAAAAAAAUUGCUCUCUACCUUUAAUGUAAAAUUCGGUUCAUUUUGAGUAAUUUCUUCACAUACCCAUUCUGGAAGAGAGGACGAAGAAAAGAAGAAAACGCUCACGGAAUGGACAGAUGAAAGGGGACAGCAGAAAAAAAGAGUGAGAAAAUGGAGAGCAUGUUCUGUGGGAGAGCAAGAGAGGAAUGCUGUGGUCUACUCUUGUCUUGAGUCCGUGGAAACUUCCCACUAAGGAGGAACAAUGGAAAGAAUUUCAAUCCAGCCUCAGUAAGAUUCCCAGUGUAUAAUAGUGAGGAGGGUGGCGGUCCAACAGAAUGUGAGGUAACAUCUCUGGCAAGUUUGGAGGUUUAGUGAUGAGCCAUUAUGAGGUGGAGCCGUUCACCAACCCAACCCAACACACAACACAAUUAUAUGGUAUCCAAAGUAGUGGCAGAUUGACUCUUUCUUUCAGGGAUCGUCAUAAGUAAGUUUCCCAUUAAGUGCUGUUCGCCGUUUCGCUAUAAAAGCCUUUAUACACCUCCC
This 828-nucleotide long non-coding RNA is filed under the name Salmo salar (Atlantic salmon). RNAcentral's name for it is "lncRNA (ENSSSAG00000082875.1)". Lineage: Eukaryota; Metazoa; Chordata; Actinopteri; Salmoniformes; Salmonidae. The record is from RNAcentral.